This 330-nucleotide ribosomal RNA is filed under the name uncultured eukaryote. RNAcentral's name for it is "partial 18S ribosomal RNA". It matches the Rfam family "Eukaryotic small subunit ribosomal RNA", at positions 1470 to 1796 of the family's 1831-position model. The record is from RNAcentral.
CCCUUAGAUGUUCGGGGCCGCACGCGCGCUACACUGAAGGAAUCAGCACGUCUUUCUCCUUGUCCGAAAGGACUGGGUAACCCGCUGAACCUCCUUCGUGUUAGGGAUUGGGGCUUGUAAUUCUUCCCCAUGAACGAGGAAUUCCCAGUAAGCGCGAGUCAUAAGCUCGCGUUGAUUACGUCCCUGCCCUUUGUACACACCGCCCGUCGCUACUACCGAUUGGAUGGUUUAGUGAGAUCCUCGGAUUGGUCCCGGAGCGGCCUCUGGUCGUGCCGGAGUGCCGAAAAGAAUGUCGAACUUGAUCAUCUAGAGGAAGUAAAAGUCGUAACA